GGCUCGUUGGUCUAGGGGUAUGAUUCUCGCUUCGGGUGUGAGAGGUCCCGGGUUCAAAUCCCGGCCGAGCCC
This 72-nucleotide transfer RNA is filed under the name Caerostris darwini. RNAcentral's name for it is "tRNA-Pro". It matches the Rfam family "tRNA". Rfam says of the family: Transfer RNA (tRNA) molecules are approximately 80 nucleotides in length. Lineage: Eukaryota; Metazoa; Arthropoda; Arachnida; Araneae; Araneidae. The record is from RNAcentral.